GGCUCUUUGCUUACAUAAAUAUAGAGAGUCGAGCCUGCCCAGUGAAUAUUUUAACGGCCGCGGUACUCUGACCGUGCAAAGGUAGCAUAAUCAUUUGCCUUAUAAUUGAAGGCUAGUAUGAAUGGUUUGACGAGAGCAACACUGUCUCCUUUUUAUUUUUGAGAAUUUAACUUUUAGGUGAAGAGGCCUAAAUUUUAUUGAAGGACAAGAAGACCCUGUCGAGCUUAAAAGAUAUUAUAGAAACUUAGUAUAUUUUUAAAUAAAUUUUCUACUAAGCUUUUUAGUUGGGGCGACUAAGGAACAAAAAAAGCUUCUUCUUAAUAAGAGACAGUUAUGUAUAGAUCCGAUAAUAGCGAUUAAAGGAAUUAGUUACCGCAGGGAUAACAGCAUAAUCUCUCUUAAGAGAUCUAAUCGAAAGAGGGGGUUGUGACCUCGAUGUUGGACUAGAAUAUCCUAAAGAUGCAGAAGUCUUUGAGGGUUGGUCUGUUCGACCAUUAAAAUUCU
RNAcentral lists this ribosomal RNA (504 nucleotides) under Koreoleptoxis globus ovalis. RNAcentral's name for it is "partial 16S ribosomal RNA". It matches the Rfam family "Bacterial large subunit ribosomal RNA", at positions 1817 to 2597 of the family's 2925-position model. The record is from RNAcentral. Lineage: Eukaryota; Metazoa; Mollusca; Gastropoda; Pleuroceridae.